RNAcentral lists this ribosomal RNA (468 nucleotides) under uncultured bacterium. RNAcentral's name for it is "partial 16S ribosomal RNA". It matches the Rfam family "Bacterial small subunit ribosomal RNA", at positions 28 to 507 of the family's 1533-position model. The record is from RNAcentral.
GACGAACGCUGGCGGCGGGCUUAACACAUGCAAGUCGAACGGAAAGGCCCUGCUUUUGUGGGGGGCUCGAGUGGCGAACGGGUGAGUAACACGUGAGUAACCUGCCCUUGACUCUGGGAUAACUUCAUGAAACUGGGGCUAAAACCGGAUAGGAGCUCCUGCUGCAUGGUGGGGGUUGGAAAGUUUCGGCGGCUGGGGAUGGAGUCGCGGCUUAUCAGUUUGUUGGUGGGGGAGUGGCUUACCAAGGCUUUGACGGGUAGCCGGCCGGCGCGGGUGAACGGCCACACUGGGCCUGCGCUGCCGCCCAGCCUCCUUCGGGAGGCAGCGGUGAGGAAUAUUACACAGUGCGCGCAAGCCUGAUGCAGGAACGCCGCGUCCCGGGUGAGGGCAUUCGGGUUGUAUGCCGCUUUCGCCUGUGACCAAGCGUGAGUGACGGUAAUGGGUAAAGAAGCACCGGCUAACUCCGUG